This 9000-nucleotide long non-coding RNA is filed under the name Setaria italica (foxtail millet). RNAcentral's name for it is "long non-coding RNA (SITA_LNC004275)". The record is from RNAcentral. Lineage: Eukaryota; Viridiplantae; Streptophyta; Magnoliopsida; Poales; Poaceae.
GCAUUGACUAUGCUCCACUAGGCGAAAACCCUCCUCACACACACCCUCGUGCUACUGAGAUCCUAACAGUGUUGGAAGGCACACUCUAUGUGGGAUUCGUGACAUCGAACCAAGAUAACAAGCUGUUCACCAAAACGCUCAACAAGGGUGAUGUGUUCGUAUUCCCAGAAGGGCUCAUCCACUUCCAAUUCAACCCUUGCCCUGACAAGCCAGCAGUUGCAAUUGCUGCACUUAGUAGCCAGAACCCUGGUGCUAUUACCAUUGCCAAUGCUGUUUUCGGAUCAAAGCCACCGAUCUCAGAUGACGUCCUAGCCAAGGCAUUUCAAGUGGAGAAGAAGACUGUAGACUGGCUCCAAGCUCAGUUCUGGAGUGACAACCACAACUAAAUUCACGAUGUUGUAUUCAUACAAAAUGUUCUUAAUGUUUUUUAUUUUCUCAAUUUAUUUCUUGGAAGUCUUGACGUUGUAAUACAUUUGUGACCAGAAGAUCACAUGCUACAAAAUAUAAUUUACAGUUUAAAUAAGACUGUUAUAAAGAGAUCACACAGAAACAAUUGCUCUACUGAGACUUUUUUGCCAUCCCAACUCAUUUUUGUGUCUUUGUUAAUUGAAUUGUUUUGUGAGUCACAGGACUCUUGGCAUGAGAGAGAGGAGAGUAGCCUAGGGAACGGAUGCGAGACUUGCGAGUUAAGUGGAUUGUAUUUUUUUGGGUUCACGCUGCGUUUCACAGCUGGACAGUGUUAAAUUCCCACCUCCAACCAGCGGUGAAAAGUAUCAUCAGUGCCGGUUUUUGUGAUCCCUACCCCUAUCUAGUUAUAAACCGGCGAUAAAAGGAUAUCACCGCCGGUUCGCAUAAAACCGGCGGUGAUAGCCUGUUAGAGAUAGCUCGUUUUGUAGUAGUGCUACUUUAUCCAAAUGUAUGUCAGGAUCUAGUUUCAUACAUAUAUAUAUAGUGGCAUCAUUAUUGAAUAACAGUAACAGUAUCACGUAAAGGAAUAAGAGUGUAUAUUAGAGAUUUAUGCUUAAUCGUGGAAACAAAGGCUCCAAACUUCACAGGCAAACGACUGGGGCUGCAUACGCCUAGAACCCAAGAUCAUCUUCACAACAACUUCAUAGCAGCUUCUUCUUCUGAGCAACGUUGGUUAUACUCAGCAAGUGUGGAGAAAAUAUGAAUGCAAGCCUUAAAAAAGGAAAGGCUGACUGGUUUGCUGCAUUAAGCAUUUUUAGUUGGUCAUAUUUUUAUUAGCACCUGAUUAAGGUAUAAGUAUAUACCAACCCACAUUUAACAUAAACAUAAGCUAUAAGAAUAUGGCACAACCAUAACCACAAUUUAAGUCCACCUUCAAGUAUAUUAAUCAUGUGAGGGUCCAUGCCGCUCUUGACCAUGAGUAUGGCUAAUCGAUCAGUUUUACAUUCUGCAAAGAUUGCACAUCUUUACCCAUAAGUCGCAUAAAAGUUCAAAAGAACUUUGGACCCAACCAUGUUGUGCUGAUCAAGCACUCAUCACACUACCGAGGUGUGACCGCAUAGGAACGCUACGAGACCUUUACAAAGAUUCGCUACCAAGUGGUAACCCGUUAAGGUUUCCGAAUCAGUAGCAGAGCAUAGCCCUCCCUAGUGGGUUUAGUAUCUUAGCCAAGUCCACUUCCCAAGAUGACUGGGCUAUACCCCAUCUGCCGCCACCCCUCUUGCCCUUUUCAGGUAAGAUUACCCCAGACUUCAAGCUCGUGAAAAUGAUUUUAUAUUCUUCCAAAAAUUGGAUUUAGUUCUACGAAAAAUGAGAAUAAAUUACAGAAAAAGCUGGAUGGACAUCAUCUAAACGUAUUUUUGAAACUUUUACCCUCAAAAAACCCAAGAUGCAUCGGCAUGCAUGCACACACACAGAAUAACAUUAUUUAAUUUCGAAAAAUAAACAAUUAUUUUGUUUCCUAUUCUAAAUUUUCUGUAAAGAAAAAUAAAUGUUGGGAAAAAUUUUAAAAUUAUGACAAAAUCAUGGUUUAUUUAUUCCUUUUAAUCACAUCAUGAAAUUCAAAAUUUUCAGGGUGUGACAGCUCUCACUUCUCGAGGAGUCGGACAGUUUCAAGUUUGACUCCAAAUAGAUUUAGUAUAAAAAUAUAUUACAUGAUUAAUCUAUUGAUAUUUAUUUUCUACCAUAAAUGUUAGUACUAUUUUGUUUAAACUUGGUCAAAUUUAAAAUUAGUUGACUUCUUAGAAAGUGAGAGUUGUAUUCUUUUUGGGACACAAAAUAAACUUGGUCAAAUUUAAAAUUAGUUGACUUCUUAGAAAGUGAGAGUUGUAUUUUUUUGGGACGGAAGGAAUAUUUCCUUUCUUUUUCUUGCACGUCAUGAGAUUACUUGGACGCAGCAUAAUUCUCAAGUCUCCAAUGUUGCGUGUGGUCCUGAUAAUAAGACCCCAUUUGUCAAGAUCUUGAAGCAGGAGCAGUGCUAGCGGCCUGUGGAAAUGUCGACAUCGUUCAAAACGCAGCCGAUCAAAGACAAAAAGUUGUCACGUCAGCCAAGAACCGGAACCAGUUUGUUGACAAGCUCGCAGGCCUGUGGACAAUAUAAUAAGUUGAGGUACAAGUCAAGACAAUCUGUGUUGAAGAAAAAUAUUGUUUACAUUAAUAUCCAAACAAGACAUAGAAUGGUACAACAGCUUGCAGGCACACAUUAACAAGAAGUCAGUAGUACCUAAUACUCGCCAGUCACCACAAUUAAUAUUUUGAUAAAUGCGACUAGACAAUUAAGUUUAUAUUAUAAAAUCACUUUUCAUGAUGAAUCUUCUAGUUUCAAAGUUACUAGCAUGUUUAACAAUAAAUAAUCAUUACUAAAUAGUUUGACUUAGGAAAGGGUAGCCCCAUAUGUUCUAAAUAUUUUCUUUUGAGAAUGUUCUAAAUAAUUAAGCUGUACCAUAUAUGUUCAAAAAAACAGUUCUAGUGUGUUGUCGUUAUCGUAUUUUAUUUUUUUCAACGCAUUCAUACUAGCUUUUCAUGAAAGUGAUGUCAUGGCAAGAGAUGUUACCCAUCAGGAAACAUCUAUCACAAAUAAUGAACUUGAUGGCAAAAUGAAAGAGAUACAUAGGGUUCCACUAAUUGAAGCUGGCAACAUAAAUCACCUGCAUAAAGCUUGUGACACAAGUCAGAGUGCAUAUAUCGUCAUGCAAACCAUCCAAUGUCGAACAUUUCUGAUCAUGAUCCGAUUGUCUUUACGGAAUAUUCGUUUCACAGGAGUUUUGCAAUUCUUUGAUCCAAGAGAAGACCAGCAUGGGUCCCAUGCUUUUGCACAAACUUACUCAACGUUUCUGCAUCAUGAUGUGAUUGUCUUUACGUAAUAUGAGAGCUGAAAACCAUUGCAUCUCAAUUAACUAACAACUGCAUUUCAUAUAUGAUUUGCAGUUUACAAAUGAUGUCAUACAAUGUUUUACACAAUCUAUAAGGGAGUAAUUUGCAACAUCAUAUAGAGAAAUAAAAUUAAUCAAUGUUGUUUCUUAUUACACAGCUAAGCAACCAUGAUGAAAGCAUUCUUGACUUAGUUGUGGUUGUCCUCCCAAAACUGAGCUUGGAGCCAAUCCACAACCUUCUUGUCCACCUGAAACGCCUUGGCAAGAACAUCAUCCGCAAUCGGUGGUUUCGAUCCAAACACUGCAUUAGAAAUGGUAAUAGCCCCAGGGUUCUGGCUGCUUAGUGCCGCGAUGGCAACCGCUGGCUUGUCAUAACUUGGAUUGAACUGAAAGUGGAUCAGGCCUUGCGGGAACACAAAAACGUCUCCCUUGUUGAGCAUCUUACUGAAAAACUUGUUGUCCGGGUUAGACGUGACAAAACCAACGUAGAGUGAACCUUCAAGAACUGUUAGGAUCUCCGUGGCACGGGGGUGAGUGUGUGGAGGGUUCUGUCCUUGAGGAGCAUAGUCAAUCCUUGCCAUGGAGAUGCCGAGGGUGUUGAGACCUGGGAGCUUCAUCGCAUUGAUCAACGUGACGUUGGACUUGACCUUGCUCUUCGUCGUGUCCCCAGGCUUGUCAAGGUUGGCUGCUAGGAAGAAGUCAUCGACCUUAACAUCCUUCACAUCCUUGCAGGGUAACCCGUUGACACGUACUGCAUCAGCAUAUAAGCAUGUGUUAGGAAGCUAUUCUCAGGUUUUGCUGUAAAACAUCAGAAUGUGAUCAUGUUUUCUUAGAUGAAGUACAUACCAGGCGAGUAUUUGUCUGCGACGCAGAAGUCCUGGAGAGGACCGUGAUCCGAAGCCAUGGCCCCACAAGCGAUCAAGGCAAGAAGAACAAAGUGAAGAAGCAAGUUGGAGGAGGCCAUGUCUAGCAACCUCGGAGUUUGCUUUCUUCUUGCAAGCUAGGGAGCUCCUGGUUUUGUCUCGGAAUUUGUGUGUAUAGCAAUAGCUAGCUGAUGCUUUCUCCUUGGGGGUGGUUCAUCCUUAUAUAUAGCUGCUGAGAGUCUGAAGAGGUCAAUCAGCAGGGCCGGCGCACUAUAUUGAAAUGGUCUCAGGUAUAGUGCAAUCCACGCAAGCAACUAUUUGAAUUUGUCAACACGGUCUUGUGUAGGUCAUCUACGCCCAGGACGCCUGAUGAAGUAACCUAGUAGUAAUAAACUGGAGAUCAUGUAGAUAUAAUGUGUUUCUAGCUAUCGUCAUGGAUGACAAUACAAAACGAUAGUGCUGAUCGGUUCUGUGAUCCAGGUAAAAAGAAACCUUGUGAAUUAUUAGGUUAAUUGUAAGACAUGGCCAUUUAAUUUGGAUAGGUUCAUGCAUGCGCUGACACUUUCUUAACAGAUAACCGUCUGCACGCAAAUCACUAACUGAUCUGAUUAUUCUAACUUAGUUCGUAACAAAUAUUUUAUUGGUACCGUGGACACAGCAUUGCACAUGUAUGACUAAUUAGUUUGAUCAGUUAUACGUACCUAGCAGGUGAAAAUUUAUUUCUCCAUUAUAUUCAGUUAUCAAAAAUAAAUUUUAUAUGCACUAUAAACUUAUAUACCAGUGAAGUAGAUAUUACACCUAUCGACUGCAAGGGGGCACCAAAAUAAAUUCACAGCCAUUGGUAAAAUAAAAAAUUUCUGCAAGGGAUAGUCCGCUUUCCCAUAAAAAAAAAUUUCUUUGGACCAGAUUGUCACACCUUGAAAUUUUUGGAUUACAGGAUAUGAUUAAAAAGAAUAAUUAAACAAUGAUUUUCCCAUAAUUUUAAAAAUUUUCCAACAUUUAUUUUCCUGACAGGAAAUUUAUUAUAGGAAAACAAUUGGUCGUUUGUUUUAAAUUAAACAAGGUCGUUCUUUGUAUGUUGCAUUUAUGCCAAUGCAUCUUGGUGUUUCUUGAGUGCAAAAUAUUUUAAAAUGCGUUUAGACGAUGAUCAGGUUCUUCUGGGUAUUUCCCAGCUUUCUCUAGAAUUUGCACUCAUUUUCCUAUAGAUAAAUCUAUUUAUUAGAAGGCUCUACAAUCUUUUUCAUGAGCUCCAAGUACUUUAUUUGGAUUCCUCAUAUCCCAAUCUAUCUAUGGGAUUUUUCCAAGAUUUUUUGAGAUUUUCAAAAGUAUUUUUCAUGGUUUAAUCGAAUUAUCUAGAUUUUUUUCUCGAUUUUUCUUUCACGAGAAAUCAUUUCUGAAGAAAAAAGAAAAAAUCUAAUCGAUCGGUCGAGUCUUUGGGGGCCGACCCUCUCCAGCCAACCCGCACCAACCCGGCAUAGCUAACUGCCUGGCCUGGCCCACUAGGCCCACCGACCACCGGCAACUCGAGGCCGAGCGUAGCUGCGCCUAGGCGCCGCCGAACCUCAGCGUGCGCGCCAAGGCAGGCACGGACCUGCGCGCCUAUAAAAGGGCGAGCCCAUGCGCCUGCGACCCCCCCCCCCCCUGCUGCAACAGCUUCCGUCUGCCGCUUGCCUAGAGCUCCGUUGCCGUGUGUUGCGUCCCUGAGCUGCCCGCGAAGCAGAGCGCCCCCGGGCCCUCUAUGGCCAGUCACCACAAUUAAUAGUUUGAUAAAUGCGACUCGACAAUUAAGUUUAUAUCAUAAAAUCACUUUUCAUGAUGAAUCUUCUAGUUUCAAAGUUACUUGCAUGUUUAACAAUAAAUAAUCAUUGCUAAUUUAAAUAGUAUGACUUAGGAAAGGGUAGCCCCAUAUGUUCUAAAAUUUUUUUUUUGCGAAUGUUCUAAAUAAUUAAGCUGCACCAUAUAUGUUCAAAAAAACAGUUCUAUUGUGUUUUCGUUAUCAUAUUUUAUUUUUUUCAACGCAUUCAUACUAGCUUUUCAUGAAAGUGAUGUCAUGGCAAGAGAUGUUGCCCAUCAGGAAACAUCUAUCACAAAUAAUGAACUUGAUGGCAAAAUGAAAGAGAUACAUAGGGUUCCACUAAUUGAAGCUGGCAACAUAAAUCACCUGCAUAAAGCUUGUGACACAAGUCAGAGUGCAUAUAUCGUCAUGCAAACCAUCCAAUGUCGAACAUUUCUGGAUCAUGAUCCGAUUGUCUUUACGGAAUAUGUGUGUCACAGGAGUUUUGAAAUUCUUUGAUCCAAGAGAAGACCGGCAUGGGUCCCAUGCUUUUGCACAAACUUACUCAACGUUUCUGCAUCAUGAUGUGAUUGUCUUUUUGGAAUAUGAGAGCUGAAAACCAUAUAUUGCAUCUCAAUUAACUAACAACUGCAUUUCAUAUAUGAUUUGCAGUUUACAAAUGAUGUCAUACAAUGUUUUACACAAUCUAUAAGGGAGUAAUUUGCAACAUCAUAUAGAGAAAUAAAAUUAAUCAAUGUUGUUUCUUAUUACACAGCUAAGCAACCAUGAUGAAAGCAUUCUUGACUUAGUUGUGGUUGUCCUCCCAAAACUGAGCUUGGAGCCAAUCCACAACCUUCUUGUCCACCUGAAACGCCUUGGCAAGAACAUCAUCCGCAAUCGGUGGUUUCGACCCAAACACUGCAUUAGAAAUGGUAAUAGCCCCAGGGUUCUGGCUGCUUAGUGCCGCGAUGGCAACCGCUGGCUUGUCAUAACUUGGAUUGAACUGAAAGUGGAUCAGGCCUUGCGGGAACACAAAAACGUCUCCCUUGUUGAGCAUCUUACUGAAAAACUUGUUGUCCGGGUUAGACGUGACAAAACCAACGUAGAGUGAACCUUCAAGAACUGUUAGGAUCUCCGUGGCACGGGGGUGAGUGUGUGGAGGGUUCUGUCCUUGAGGAGCAUAGUCAAUCCUCGCCAUGGAGAUGCCGAGGGUGUUGAGACCUGGGAGCUUCAUCGCAUUGAUCAACGUGACGUUGGACUUGACCUUGCUCUUCGUCGUGUCCCCAGGCUUGUCAAGGUUGGCUGCUAGGAAGAAGUCAUCGACCUUAACAUCCUUCACAUCCUUGCAGGGCAACCCGUUGACACGUACUGCAUCAAUGAAGCAACAUACAUGUGUUAUGGGAGGCUCAUCAUCAAACGUGUACUACGCCAUGUGAUUUUCAUUACAAGGCGGUAUAAACUUUCUCAAUUUUCAUUUCAGCUUCGUUAUGAACCACGCAAUCAUGAUGUGAUACAGACGUGUUAUGAUUAAGAUGAAGACUGAAGCACAUACCAUGCGUGUCUUUGUCGGCGACACAGAAGUCCUGGAGAGGACUGGGAUCCGAUGCUAUGGCACCGGAAGCGGCCAAGGCGAGAAGAACGGUGAGAAGAAAGAAGUUGGAGGAGGCCAUGCCUAGCAACCUAGACAGGAGUUUUCUCUCUUCUAUGGAGCUGCCUGUUGUGUAUAUGUAUCUAUACUUAGCUGAUGCUUUGUCCAUGGAGGCGUUGCAUGCAUAUAUAUAGCAGCUGAGACUCUGAAGAGGUCAUUCAGCAGGUUGCCCAACAGAAAUUGUCUCAGGUGUAGUGUAUCCCGAGAAAGAACCUAUUUGAUUUGGUCAACACGUUCUUGAUGAGUAAAUCAAUGCAAUAUCUACUCCCAAGACCCAGAUGAGGUGACCGUGUAAAAUUGUGAUCGUGGUGUAAAAUUUUAAUAAACACAACAGUUAUCCAUCAGGAAAUAUGAGAGCAAAAGAAUACUAACAAGUAACAGUGUUGCAUAGUCCCAUGCAUGACCACGUCUGAUUAGUUACCAAACACAUACAUAAAAAAGGAUGAACUCGAGGAAACUUCGUCGAGUUUGACUGAUGCAAAUAAACAAUUGCAGAUGGUCAGAGCAUGUACUCGACCUGAUAACGACCGUUUCAAUCUAGCAAUGUUGCUCAUCUUCUGGUUGACUUAUUCCCAACCUCACCUACUCUUUCUGCUUCUAUAUAUACACGUCCAUCCUCCCCAGGGCCAAAGCAUCAAACAGCUAGCAGAAACCCAAACACCACCAAGCCAAAUAAGAACAACAGAAAUACACCAAAUGGCCUCCUCCACCACCUUUCUUGUUCUGACCGCUCUUCUUGCACUGCUCUCAUGGCAAGCGAUUGCUUCGGACCCAAGCCCUCUGCAGGAUUUCUGCGUUGCUGACAAGGAUUCUCAUGGUAUGUACCUUCACAUAUAUCAUCCGAACAUUUGUUAAUUAUUUGUAAUUGUACAAACUAUAUGUAUAAUUACAUGUAAUCAAACAUAUGUCGGACUUCAAUUCUUAUUAGCUUUUGGGCAUAACUUCAACAUGUGUUCCCCUCCAUGAUGCAGUGCGUGUCAAUGGAUUUGUGUGCAAAGACCCGAAGGACGUCAAGGCAGAUGACUUCUUCCUAGCAGCCAACCUCGACAAGCCAAGGGACACGACAGUUAGCAAGGUUGGGUCCAAUGUGACCUUGAUCAAUGUCAUGCGGAUCCCUGGCCUCAACACCCUUGGAAUCUCCCUAGCACGCAUUGACUAUGCUCCACUAGGCGAAAACCCUCCUCACACACACCCUCGUGCUACUGAGAUCCUAACAGUGUUGGAAGGCACACUCUAUGUGGGAUUCGUGACAUCGAACCAAGAUAACAAGCUGUUCACCAAAACGCUCAACAAGGGUGAUGUGUUCGUAUUCCCAGAAGGGCUCAUCCACUUCCAAUUCAACCCUUGCCCUGACAAGCCAGCAGUUGCAAUUGCUGC